Oncorhynchus gorbuscha (pink salmon) is the source of this 548-nucleotide long non-coding RNA. RefSeq lists it as uncharacterized. The transcript has 3 exons. The record is from RefSeq and is a predicted model, not a curated record. NCBI's taxonomy places the organism in Eukaryota, Metazoa, Chordata, Actinopteri, Salmoniformes, Salmonidae.
UUUGUGUGUGAAUUUUUGUGAGUGGAAUAAAGAGGAGGGAUGCGGACUGCACGGAGCAUGCGCGUGCAUCUGUGAGAGACAGGGAAGGGAGAGAGAGAGAAAGGCUGAGAAGUAGGGGAGGGAGUUUGUCGUGAUAGAGAACCUGCGAGUGCUACUAAGGAGGAGAGAGCGCGAGAGAGAGCGGGAACACAAGCGAGUAACUGAGAGAUGGUGUGUGUGUGUGAGAGAGCCUUAGUUCGUCUGACUCUCGGAGCUGUAGACUGGACCAACCAUUUAGCCUUUGGACGCUCACGGCGCACACACACGUAGGCACACGCCACUGCCGCGUCACCCUUGCCGGCCGGUGAUGAGAGGGAGGAUACAGUCGUUUUGAGACAAAGGGGGAACUGCCUUUGAGAAGACUCAGCCUUUGGAUGUGUUGCAGGAGAAAAAUCACCUGAUCAUUGAGUUGUCCAGCAACAGCCUGAAGGCAUCCACAUAUGACCAGGUGGACAUCUCAAGGAUGAACAAUGGAAACAUAAUGCAUCUGAGCUCAAUUUCAAGUCUCA